This 444-nucleotide non-coding RNA is filed under the name Enterocytozoon bieneusi H348. RNAcentral describes it as "Microsporidia small subunit ribosomal RNA". It matches the Rfam family "Microsporidia small subunit ribosomal RNA", at positions 1 to 444 of the family's 1311-position model. Lineage: Eukaryota; Fungi; Microsporidia; Enterocytozoonidae. The record is from Rfam by way of RNAcentral.
CAUUAGGUUGAUUCUGCCUAACGUAGAUGCUAGUCUCUGAGAUUAAGCCAUGCAUGUCAGUGAAGCCUUACGGUGGAACGGCGAACGGCUCAGUAAUGUUGCGGUAAUUUGGUCUCUGUGUGUAAACUAACCACGGUAACCUGUGGCUAAAAGCGGAGAAUAAGGCGCAACCCUAUCAGCUUGUUGGUAGUGUAAAGGACUACCAAGGCCAUGACGGGUAACGGGAAAUCAGGGUUUGAUUCCGGAGAGGGAGCCUGAGAGAUGGCUCCCACGUCCAAGGACGGCAGCAGGCGCGAAACUUGUCCACUCCUUACGGGGGAGACAGUCAUGAGACGUGAGUAUAAGACCUGAGUGUAAAGACCUUAGGGUGAAGCAAUUGGAGGGCAAGCUUUGGUGCCAGCAGCCGCGGUAACUCCAACUCCAAGAGUGUCUAUGGUGAUGCGC